UUGCUAGUGGUGAGCUUGAGCAGUUACAUUCUUCUAACUUGUUUGAAAUCGACGUGCUUAUGGACGGUCUUGUGCUGAUUUGAUUAUUAAGCCAUCAGCACAUAACAAAAACCUAAGCUAUAUGGUUGCUGCUCUGUAUCUUAGUUUUUCCUAGAGUUUAUAUUUGGGGAAGCUUUCUACACUGUGGCUUACAUGUACACUCCCUCACAAACAAGCUGCAUAAAUGAAUGUAGUUUUUGGCUAGAUCACUGAUGAGAUCGGUCUUUAUCCUUCACGUAUUGUGCUAGUUCUGAGAUAAAGACUGCUGUUGUCUAUCAGGGGGAUGGGGUGUUUACCUUUGCAUGCUUUUUGUUACAUCACUAAUAGAUAAACGACCUGGGCAAGGCUAGAAAGAGUUUCUUUUUCAAUUUGUGAAGAGAUUGAUGAGCGGACUAAAGCGUUGGAUUGCUAUCUAUCCUUCCGUUUACCUUCGUACGUUUAUUGCCUCACAACUUCGUCAUGGUUAUGGAUAGUUAUGGAUAAAUCCCUCAGGUUUGGGUAUAAACAAUGGAAAUUACUCCAUAAAGACUCUUUCUUCAUCAUGGUUAUGGAUAAAUCCCUCAGAUUCGGGUAUUAAUAGUGGAAAUUACUGCAUAAAGGCUCUUUUUAUUUUAUUUUCCAGUGGAUUACUUUUUUUUUUUCGGGGAAGGGAAUGAGGUUGUUUGGUUGGGGAAAUCUUUUGGAUCAACUUGAUUUUGGCUUCAUGCAGGCGAGUUGCAACCUACAAUCCGAACUGAGGCGGGUUUUUGGAAUUAGCUCACCCUCACGUGAUCACGACCCUUUGUCCCGGCCAUUAUAGCACGUCUGUCGCCUAGGACAUAAGGGGCAUGAUGACUUGACGUCAUCCUUACCUUCCUUCGACUUAUCACCAGUAGUCUACUUAGGGUUCCAACCUCAACAGUUGGCAACGAAAUUUUGGGUAGGUUAUUGAGUGGGGGUGUCUUAUUCUUUCUCUUUUUUAAUUAUUUAAAA
Molecule: long non-coding RNA, 1011 nt
Organism: Cucurbita maxima (winter squash)
Lineage: Eukaryota; Viridiplantae; Streptophyta; Magnoliopsida; Cucurbitales; Cucurbitaceae
Exons: 2
Source: RefSeq, a predicted model, not a curated record